UUAAACCUAUUUAAAAUGACGGCAUUUCAUCUCAUUAAAGGAAUCUGUUUUAUAAUCGACAAUCCACGAUAAUUUUCACUUAAAUCAUAAAAUUUAUAUACCGCCAUCUUAAAAAUUAAUUUAAUAAUAUUAUUUUAUAAAAAGACAGGUCAAGGUGUAGUCUAUAUUUAAGCAAAUAAUGGAUUACAUUAAAAAUAAUUUAAGGAUUAGAAAUAUAAAUUUCUCUAUGAAAAAGGAUUUAAAAGUAAUACUACAAUAAUAUUUUAUUAUG
This 271-nucleotide ribosomal RNA is filed under the name Notocosa bellicosa. RNAcentral describes it as "partial 12S ribosomal RNA". The record is from RNAcentral. Lineage: Eukaryota; Metazoa; Arthropoda; Arachnida; Araneae; Lycosidae.